Molecule: long non-coding RNA, 892 nt
Filed under: Homo sapiens (human)
Lineage: Eukaryota; Metazoa; Chordata; Mammalia; Primates; Hominidae
Description: HSALNT0375834
Source: RNAcentral
CUAUUCAUCAUGACCUCAUAGAGCCUUUUCUUUUUCUCAGGUCUCAUUUACUUCCUCUUUUUUUUUUCCUUUUCCUUUUCCUAUACCUUCCUUUGGUCCUUAUAAGUAUCCAAAUUGCCCUAAAAUAACUUCUGCACAUGCAGCAUUAGGAAGCAGUGUUUCCCAACCACUACAUUUGAAUGAUUCAUUCCUCUGAGGACCCUCAAGUACUUCAGAAGAACUAAAAAAUGAAUAUCACGUUACACCAAAGAAGAAAUGAAAGCUGCCAGUGUCUUCUGAAGUUAAACAGGCUCCUGUUCUUUGACCCAGCAAUCCAAUCCUAGGUAUUUAAUUGUUCCCUGAGGUUUAAGGCAGUGGACUGAGGAUAAUACAGGCUCCAGCUUUCAUUAGUUCAAUGGAUGAUGCUGUUCAAUCCAUACUGUUUGGGGCAUUUGUUGAAAAUGUCAUUCAGAAGAUAUCAACACUUUCUGAGUCAUGGUUUGAUUGAAUUUAUAGAAUUAUGUGAUAGAAACCACAUUCUUCACAAAAGUCACAAGGCAAUAAUGACGACAAGGGUUGAAGAUGAAAGAUGCCAAAUAUUCUGAUCAAUUCAAUAAGGCAAAAAGACAAGUUAAUUCACUCAGUGCUCCAGGCAUCAACUUCAUAGAAGGAAUGGAAAUUCUACCUGUUUCCUAAAGAACUACAGAGGUGUACACCAAACGGAGGGCAAAUGCUGUUACCACUCAUCGUGCAAGACUUUUGAGGCAAUUUGGACAUAGACAAGUGAUGGGAAAAUUGAAUCAUUAUAUGGCUCAUGACAGUGUUGAAAACUCAAACAUCCAAGGACCUGUACCUUUGCUAAGUGCCAUGCAUAUGUUGCUGAUAAAGAUGCAAUAAAUACUCUUUUGUUAAA